This 87-nucleotide ribosomal RNA is filed under the name Pseudotaxiphyllum pohliicarpum. Its description in RNAcentral is "partial 5.8S ribosomal RNA". It matches the Rfam family "5.8S ribosomal RNA", at positions 69 to 154 of the family's 154-position model. From Rfam's summary of the family: 5.8S ribosomal RNA (5.8S rRNA) is a component of the large subunit of the eukaryotic ribosome. It is transcribed by RNA polymerase I as part of the 45S precursor that also contains 18S and 28S rRNA. Functionally, it is thought that 5.8S rRNA may be involved in ribosome translocation. Lineage: Eukaryota; Viridiplantae; Streptophyta; Bryopsida; Hypnales; Plagiotheciaceae. RNAcentral also lists the same sequence under 2 other names. The record is from RNAcentral.
GAAUUGCAGAAUUCCGCGAAUCAUCGAGUCUUUGAACGCAAGUUGCGCCCGAGGCUUGUCCAAGGGCAUUUCCGCUAGAGCGUCACC